UACGGGGGGGCAAGCGUUGUUCGGAAUUACUGGGCGUAAAGGCUCGUAGGCGGCCAACUAAGUCGGACGUGAAAUCCCCAGGCUCAACCUGGGAACUGCGUCCGAUACUGGAUGGCUUGAAUCCGGGAGAGGGAUGCAGAAUUCCAGGUGUAGCGGUGAAAUGCGUAGAUAUCUGGAGGAAUACCGGUGGCGAAGGCGGCAUCCUGGACAGCUACUGACACUGAGGCUCGAAGGCCAGGGGAGCAAACGGG
Molecule: ribosomal RNA, 251 nt
Filed under: uncultured bacterium
Lineage: Bacteria
Description: partial 16S ribosomal RNA
Rfam family: Bacterial small subunit ribosomal RNA
Source: RNAcentral